RNAcentral lists this long non-coding RNA (1194 nucleotides) under Apteryx owenii (little spotted kiwi). RNAcentral describes it as "lncRNA (ENSAOWG00000015921.1)". Lineage: Eukaryota; Metazoa; Chordata; Aves; Apterygiformes; Apterygidae. The record is from RNAcentral.
AAAUAUGUAAAAAAAAAAGAAAAAAAAGUGUUUUGCGACCUUCUUGUUUCCUGGAUCUCUGAUUCCUCAGAACUGGAGCGUGCUGAUGAUGAAAGAUAAGGCAUAAAGAUAAACUUCUGGACUUAUCUGUGGUCCACUGUGGGAAGGGUUGAGAGGAUGAUGAGGGAGCUGUAGCUGUAUAAAGGGAGAAGGAAGUGGGAAGCACGGAUUUUAGGGAGUAAAGCAAGUUAAAGGUGGUGGUCCUGAGACUGAAAGAUAGAAGAAGAGAGUGAGGCUUAUUUGGGCCAAAAAAAGGAAAAGAAAAAUCUACCGUAACUGGAUAAUGACAAUAACAAAAAUGCGCAGCUCUUGAGGUAUAUUAAAUAGCUCCCCAUCUGUGAUCCCUGCAACAGACCAGUGUUUUUUUUUUUUUUCCUCCAUCUUGCUUUGCUAUUGAGGAGUUAGGCCAGGAAGAGAUGGGGUUGCAACUGGGAGCCACUGUAUCACAAUAUACACAGUGUUCGCCAUCUAACUUGCAUUUAAUAUUUGUUUGAAUUCACUGAUCCUCUUCUAAUGCACAAGUGAUAUUCCAGACUCUCUUGUAAGAGAUUGCAGCACCAUUUUAGUUUUAGUGCUAUAAAGUGUUUUGGCAGGAAGGAGGAAGAGCUUUGCACAAUGAGAAUGGGGGCAAGGAAAUACCGUUCUAACGGUGUUGUCUGGCCGCCAAACUCUCCCUAUGCUGGAACCUCUGUCGCUGGAACUGCUGUUGACUUGGUUUCUCUGAAGCCGAGCUUGACAGUCAGUUGCCUUUAUGCUGAGCUGUUAAACCUAAUUCUGCCUACUCUGACCCUCAUUUUGGCUGGAGGCCAGUCAUCACAGUAUCAGAUGGUGGACUUUAGUUGUUUACAGUUCAGCUCCGGUGCAGGGAAGUGCCAGGGAUCAGAGACUGGCAGCGCUCUGCAGGAGGCUGGGAAAGAACAGCUUGCAUUUACAGAGAAAGGGACUGUCGGAGGACCAGAAUGGUUGAAAACGAAACCGGUUUCGAGAAGCCAGCGGCGGCGAGGCUCCAAGGCAGGCGCAGGCAGCCGGGAGCCCGCAGCGCGUGGGGCGACGACCGCCCGGGCCUGUCUUCCCGCCGGCCCCGGAGAACACCCUGUACGCGCCGCCGAGGCCGGGGGAGGCGGCGGGGGGAGCCGGUCCCGGCCCCCGGCUCCC